CUACGGGAGGCAGCAGUGGGGAAUUUUGGACAAUGGGGGCAACCCUGAUCCAGCCAUGCCGCGUGAGUGAAGAAGGCCUUCGGGUUGUAAAGCUCUUUCAGCCGGGAAGAAAUCGCAUGGGCUAAUACCCCGUGUGGAUGACGGUACUGGAAUAAGAAGCACCGGCUAACUACGUGCCAGCAGCCGCGGUAAUACGUAGGGUGCGAGCGUUAAUCGGAAUUACUGGGCGUAAAGCGUGCGCAGGCGGUUUAGUAAGACAGGCGUGAAAUCCCCGGGCUCAACCUGGGAACUGCGCUUGUGACUGCUAAGCUAGAGUACGGCAGAGGGGGGUGGAAUUCCACGUGUAGCAGUGAAAUGCGUAGAGAUGUGGAGGAACACCAAUGGCGAAGGCAGCCCCCUGGGUCGAUACUGACGCUCAUGCACGAAAGCGUGGGUAGCAAACAGGAUUAGAUACCCUGGUAGUCCACGCCCUAAACGAUGUCAACUAGGUGUUGGGUGGGUAAAACCAUUUAGUACCGGAGCUAACGCGUGAAGUUGACCGCCUGGGGAGUACGGCCGCAAGGUUAAAACUCAAAGGAAUUGACGG
Molecule: ribosomal RNA, 586 nt
Filed under: uncultured bacterium
Lineage: Bacteria
Description: bacterial SSU rRNA
Rfam family: Bacterial small subunit ribosomal RNA
Source: RNAcentral